AGCAGCCGCCGCGGUAAUACGAAGGGGGCUGGCAUUGUUCGGAUUUACCGGGCGUAAAGGGCGCGUAGGCGGACUGAUAAGUCAGGGGUGAAAUCCCAAGGCUCAACCUUGGAACUGCCUUUGAUACUGUUUGUCUUGAGUUCGAGAGAGGUAAGUGGGACUGCGAGUGUAGAGGUGAAAUUCGUAGAUAUUCGCAAGAACACCAGUGGCGAAGGCGGCUUACUGGCUCGAAACUGACGCUGAGGCGCGAAAGCGUGGGGAGCAAACAGGAUUAGAUACCCGCGUAGUCCCUGUCUCUUAUAC
This 303-nucleotide ribosomal RNA is filed under the name uncultured bacterium. RNAcentral's name for it is "partial 16S ribosomal RNA". It matches the Rfam family "Bacterial small subunit ribosomal RNA", at positions 507 to 807 of the family's 1533-position model. The record is from RNAcentral.